Molecule: RNase P RNA, 407 nt
Filed under: Streptomyces albus subsp. albus DSM 41398
Lineage: Bacteria; Bacillati; Actinomycetota; Actinomycetes; Kitasatosporales; Streptomycetaceae
Also listed under: 1 other name
Description: Bacterial RNase P class A
Rfam family: Bacterial RNase P class A
About the family: Ribonuclease P (RNase P) is a ubiquitous endoribonuclease, found in archaea, bacteria and eukarya as well as chloroplasts and mitochondria. Its best characterised activity is the generation of mature 5'-ends of tRNAs by cleaving the 5'-leader elements of precursor-tRNAs.
Source: Rfam by way of RNAcentral
CGAGCCGGGCGGACGGCCGCGUGGAGUUCCCUUCGGGGGCUUCCCGAGGAACGUCCGGGCUCCACAGGGCAGGGUGGUGGCUAACGGCCACCCGGGGUGACCCGCGGGACAGUGCCACAGAGAACAGACCGCCGGGACGUACCCGUACGACCCGGUAAGGGUGAAACGGUGGUGUAAGAGACCACCAGCGCCUGAGGUGACUCAGGCGGCUAGGUAAACCCCACCCGGAGCAAGGUCAAAAGGGGCCGCGGAUGCGGCUCUGCGCGGAUGCACGAGGGCUGCCCGCCCGAGUCCGCGGGUAGACCGCACGAGGCCGGUGGCAACACCGGCCCUAGAUGGAUGGCCGUCUCCCCGGGCGCCGCGAGGCACCCGGGCGACAGAACCCGGCGUACAGCCCGACUCGUCUG